This 31-nucleotide non-coding RNA is filed under the name Rattus norvegicus (Norway rat). The record is from RNAcentral. Lineage: Eukaryota; Metazoa; Chordata; Mammalia; Rodentia; Muridae.
UGGAACUCAACUCUGUAGACCAGGCAGGCCU